Molecule: long non-coding RNA, 3108 nt
Organism: Equus caballus (horse)
Lineage: Eukaryota; Metazoa; Chordata; Mammalia; Perissodactyla; Equidae
Source: Ensembl
CUUCCACACCCCCUCCCUUGAUUUCGUUUUCGAGUCCAAGGUUUUAACACCAGGAGGGGAAGGAACAAUUAGACAGCCAAGCCUUGGGAAAAUGCUGCUUCAGGGCAAUGGGCCUCUGCUCAUCCGGGUCUGCGGCCUUCAGACAGUGCCCGACUUCGGGCCUGGCAUCCACAGGAGGAAGAGGGCAGCCAGCCUGGCCCCCCAGGGACGGAGGGUGGCAGAAUGCCCAGGACCAGCCCAGCACUGGCAUUUGGGGGAGAAAUUCCAGACUGAGGAGACAGCUAGAGAAGAAGGGAGGCAUGGAAAUCCCUACAGGUUUCAACAGUUAUCCUUCAAAGCAGACGCGAAACUGGGGAUGUUAACAGGAGGGCCGGCUCAGACCGAAACCAAGCCAGAGCAGAAACAAACAGCCAGGCAUCUUCGCUGGCCAGCCCCACCAGGUCAACAUCUGGGUGCCCAGCUGCUUUCUGCCUGCCAAGGCCAUGUUCCUUCUCCUCCGUCACCACUUCUCAGUGUCCUGGGUUAGGGAGGGGUCGGUCUGCCGGCAGACCAGGUCUUCUCCCGUUCUACAUCUCAGCCCCAUCACACUGCACAUGGCACACAGGAAGGGCCCCCUGCGUGCCUGCUUGUGGAAGGGGCCAUUGAAAGCUGGCCCCGCCUCCCACCUCCCGCCUCCCUGCUCCCUCUCCGACCCUCUUUGCUUUUGGUUAGGAACCCCGGGCCCCGCCUCUUCUGUGUUCUCAAGGCCUAUUCCUCUAGCGACAAAAACCAACCACUUCCCCCUCUCGCCUUCCCGUCCUUUUGGAGACACAAAGGGCCCUGCUCCCAGAAACACUGUCUCCUGGAGCCAGGAGAAUUUCUGGAAUGGGCAGGGACCUCGCCUGAAAAAGAGAAAGGAGAACUCUAGGGGAAGGCAGAGGGGAGCAAGGGCUAGAUCAAAGAGAGCCUGGACAGGGUCAGGAGUGGGGAGUGCUGGCAGGGAGACAAAUGAGGCUCCCAGAGGGGUCAGCCGAGGGACAGGCGUGCCUGCGCUCAGAUGCACAGGGGCAGCGCAGGAGCACCACGGAAAAGACUGGCCAUUGCAAAGAGACCAUAGAUGGAAAAGAUAAGGUAAGGUGCAAAUUAAUGGAGAAAAGGACUGACCGGAGAUAAGGGCAUCUCCCUGUAAUGGCAAACGCACAGCCUUGGUAUCUCCAAGGUUGGUGGCGUCCCAGACUGUCCCAUGUCUGAGCUGGAAUGGGAGCUAAGGCCCAGGAGGGGCAGAAAUCAGACCAGUUAAUGAUUAGCUCCCAGCUGAAGGUUUAGAAGCUGACUCAUCCUCAUCCCGGGCAGGAAGAGCGCCUGAGCAAGUUACCUGAGACAAGGUAAGUGCUCAACUCAGGAAGAAGCCCAUAGGAACCUCAGGCUUCUGACCAGGACCCCAUCGUCUGAGGUGGGCCGGGGGAGGCCAUUCUUCGAUUUUUCAGCUUUCUGUUGUUGUUUGGUUAACGUGGUGGUGGUGGUUUUUAAUUUUGGUUCUAAAAUUCUAAGAUUUGUCUCAAAUAUUGAUUGUAUUUGAACUUUUUUUUCCCUUCGUCUUCUUGCAAAGCCCCCUGGUACAUAGUUGUACACUCUAGUUGUGAGUGCCUCUGGUUCUGCUCUGUGGGACGCCACCCCAGCAGGUCCUGAUGAGCUGUGCCAUGUCCGCACCCAGGAUCCGAACCAGCGAAACCCUGGGCCACCAACGCAGAGCAUGUGAACCAACCACUCAGCCACAGGGCCAGCCCCUGUAUUUGAACUUGAUUUUGCUGGUUCCACACCCAAAAAGUGUGCUGAAUGGCAAUUACCAGCAAGAUUGUCUGCCUACACUCAGAGCUAAUCAAAUAGCAGAAUGGGAAAGACAAUAGAUUCUAGAGCCAGGCUGCCUGGGUCAUGUCCUGCCUUGUCCACUUGCUACCUGUGACUUAGGACAAGAUACUUGACCUCUCAUAGGUGCUCUGUGUGCCUGCUACAUAGUAAGCACUCAACAAACGCUAGCUGUUAUCAUCACCGUCAUCAUUUUAAUUAUUACCAUCUUUCCCCUACAACCUAGGAGCAAAGCCCUGAAAUAAGUGCAGACCUCUUUUCAAAAAUCUCAUUGCCUGGGGCCAGCCUUGUGGCACAGCAGUGAAGUUCACACGUUCCACUUUGGUGGCCCAGGGUUCACUGGUUCAGAUCCCAGGUGCGGACAUAUGCACUGCUCAUCAAGCCAUGCUGUGGCAGGCAUCCCACAUAUAAAGUAGAGGAAGAUGGGCACGGAUGUUAGCUCGGGGCCAGUCUUCCACAGCAAAAAGAGGAGGAUUGGCAGCAGAUGUUAGCUCAGGGCUAAUCUUCCUCAAAAAUGAAAAAUCCUAUUUUGUGUGUAAGCAUUUCACAGCCCUCCUACUCCCCCAGCACAAAUGCAUGUGGACGCAUCCUAGAACGAUCCAGGAAACCAAUAUCUCACGUGUCAGUCGUGGGGCUGGGAGAGGUGACUACAGACUCCCAUGCACACUGUGUAUAAAUUCCUGCAUCCUUCUCCCUCACUCCUCACAUCCAAUCCUUCAUAAGUCCUGUCCGGUCUACCUCCAAAAUCAACCCUGACUCCGUCCCUUGUCUCACCCUCACUGCUGCCCUGCUCCAGUCCCAGCCACCGUCAUCUCACCUGCUGCCACAGCCCUCUGACCGCCCCCACCUCCACUCCUACCUGCGCCCCUAACGUGGUUUACGUGCAGCACACACAGCAAUGUUUAAAAGCUAGGACUAUAGAAACCAUGUCACUCUCCACUCAAACCUGCCCCCGCCAACGGCUUUCCCUUGCACUUCAGAUAAAAUCUCAAGUUCUCAGCUGGCUUAAAAGACCCUGUAUCACUGCCCCUGCCCACCCGUCCAAUCUCAUCCGGAGCCGUGCUCCUCCUUGUCUGCCACACUCCAGCUUCACCGGCUUCCUUUCAGUUCUUCAAACACUCCUUCCUCCUCUUCAAAGGGCAACUCCUUUUCAAGUCUUAGCGUCAGUGGCAUUUCUUCAAAGAAGCCUUCCCUGGCCACCCUCUCUAAAUAUUGCCCAACUCCCCUCUUUUACUCUUUCACAGCAUUAUAUUCAUUUUCUCC